GGACAGGUACCCAAGCGGCCAACGGGGGCAGACUGUAAAUCUGCUGUCAAUUGACUUCGGAGGUUCGAAUCCUUCCCUGUCCA
This 83-nucleotide transfer RNA is filed under the name Candidatus Latescibacterota bacterium. Its description in RNAcentral is "Latescibacterota bacterium tRNA". It matches the Rfam family "tRNA". From Rfam's summary of the family: Transfer RNA (tRNA) molecules are approximately 80 nucleotides in length. Their secondary structure includes four short double-helical elements and three loops (D, anti-codon, and T loops). Lineage: Bacteria; Pseudomonadati; Candidatus Latescibacterota. The record is from Rfam by way of RNAcentral.